GGGCCAUUAGCUCAGUUGGUUAGAGCUACCGGCUCAUAACCGGUUGGUCCUGGGUUCGAGUCCCCGAUGGCCCACCA
RNAcentral lists this transfer RNA (77 nucleotides) under Ruminococcus callidus. RNAcentral's name for it is "tRNA-Ile". It matches the Rfam family "tRNA". From Rfam's summary of the family: Transfer RNA (tRNA) molecules are approximately 80 nucleotides in length. Their secondary structure includes four short double-helical elements and three loops (D, anti-codon, and T loops). RNAcentral also lists the same sequence under 3 other names. Lineage: Bacteria; Bacillati; Bacillota; Clostridia; Eubacteriales; Oscillospiraceae. The record is from RNAcentral.